This 330-nucleotide ribosomal RNA is filed under the name uncultured eukaryote. RNAcentral's name for it is "partial 18S ribosomal RNA". It matches the Rfam family "Eukaryotic small subunit ribosomal RNA", at positions 1470 to 1796 of the family's 1831-position model. The record is from RNAcentral.
CCCUUAGAUGUUCUGGGCCGCACGCGCGCUACACUGAUGCAUUCAACGAGUCUAAAACCUGGUCUGAUAGGGCUGGGUAAUCUUUUGAAUGUGCAUCGUGAUUGGGAUAGAUGAUUGCAAUUCUUCAUCUUCAACGAGGAACGCCUAGUAAACGCAAGUCAUCAGCUUGCAUUGAUUACGUCCCUGCCCUUUGUACACACCGCCCGUCGCUCCUACCGAUUGAAUGUUCCGAUGAAUACCAUGGACUGAGAGUAUGAAUGGGUUCGCCUAUUUCUGCUUCUCGGGAAGUGGAGUAAAUCUUAACAUUUAGAGGAAGGAGAAGUCGUAACA